This 286-nucleotide long non-coding RNA is filed under the name Phoenix dactylifera (date palm). Its description in RNAcentral is "long non-coding RNA (PDAC_LNC015805)". Lineage: Eukaryota; Viridiplantae; Streptophyta; Magnoliopsida; Arecales; Arecaceae. The record is from RNAcentral.
ACAAGCUCCAAAGAAACCCAUAUCUCCUUCCUGUCUGCCUUGAAAACCCGCCAUAAAUUCACUUAAAAGCGACCAAUAGUACCACCACCCACACACCAAGAAAAGAAGAGACUCUCUUGCUUGUUUUCACAAAGCAAACUCAUUUCUCUGAGCUUUGGCUGGAUUUUAGGUGGCUUUGUGCAGCCUUUAUCCUGAUUUUGUUUCUCUUUUUCUGUUUCCAUUACCACCAACUCAGUGCUGUUAAAGCCACCUACUUAGCAUCAUUUCUGGUCCUUAGACAAGCCAC